GGGGCUGACUUAAGCAUGAUGAGAGCAGAAAUUCACAAAUUUGACUCUCAUUACGUUGAUAAUCUCAUUGGUUGUUUCCCCUAAUCAAGCUCGUACAAUAUACCAGGCACUGAAGAAAAAGGAUUUGCCAGUUGCUCUUGUCGAGUAUGAAGGACAGCAGCAUGGUUUCUGCAAGGUAUGUACUAAUUUUAUGUAUCAUCUGACCACAAGAUUUGUAUUGGAGAGGGGUACAUUAGCUUGAUCACUGAUUGUUUACACGCUGAGAACAUCAAGUUUACAUUGGAACAAGAAAUGGUUUUUUUUGCCCGUUUGGUUGGACACUUCAAUGUUGCAGAUGAAAUCAAUCCAAUCAAAAUUGACAAUUUUGACUGAUCAUGUAUCAAAGUAUCUGGUUCCUGGGAUUUUCUGUGUGGUAUUUUGCUAUUAUUGCUUGCUAAAGAACGACUUCUUCCGUCUGACCAGGGACAUUAGCCAGCUCCUUUGCAGGAACUUUAAGGGAUUUGCUCUUAUAAUUUGACAGCAGUAAAUUGAAAGAAACUUGAGAAGUUCAUGGCUCCAAACUUUUGCAAUAUCUUUGUUUUGUUGGAUACUAAUUUUAGGAACCGGAAGCAUAAAUGACUACAUUGUCAUAUUUUUUUUAUUAAGAUUUUUUUUUUU
Hevea brasiliensis (rubber tree) is the source of this 657-nucleotide long non-coding RNA. RefSeq lists it as uncharacterized. NCBI's taxonomy places the organism in Eukaryota, Viridiplantae, Streptophyta, Magnoliopsida, Malpighiales, Euphorbiaceae. The transcript is spliced from 2 exons. The record is from RefSeq and is a predicted model, not a curated record.